Molecule: ribosomal RNA, 472 nt
Filed under: uncultured Rhodoferax sp.
Lineage: Bacteria; Pseudomonadati; Pseudomonadota; Betaproteobacteria; Burkholderiales; Comamonadaceae
Description: bacterial SSU rRNA
Rfam family: Bacterial small subunit ribosomal RNA
Source: RNAcentral
CAAAUGAAUUGACGGGACCCCGCACAAGCGGUGGAUCAUGUGUUAAUUCGAUGAUACGCGAAGAACCUUACCAGGUCUUGACAUCCCAUGCAAAGCUAUAGAGAUAUAGUGGAGGUUACCAUGGAGACAGGUGGUGCAUGGUUGUCGUCAGCUCGUGUCGUGAGAUGUUGGGUUAAGUCCCGCAACGAGCGCAACCCUUGUCAUUAGUUGCUACAUUCAGUUGGGCACUCUAAUGAGACUGCCGGUGACAAGCCGGAGGAAGGUGGGGAUGACGUCAAGUCCUCAUGGCCCUUAUAGGUGGGGCUACACACGUCAUACAAUGGCUGGUACAAAGGGUUGCCAACCCGCGAGGGGGAGCUAAUCCCAUAAAGCCAGUCGUAGUCCGGAUCGUAGUCUGCAACUCGACUACGUGAAGUCGGAAUCGCUAGUAAUCGUGGAUCAGAAUGUCACGGUGAAUACGUUCCCGGGUCUU